GAUGAACGCUAGCUACAGGCUUAACACAUGCAAGUCGCGGGGCAGCAUGGGGGUUGCUUGCAAUCCCCGAUGGCGACCGGCGCACGGGUGAGUAACGCGUAUCCAACCUGCCCUUCACCACGGGAUAACCCGGCGAAAGUCGGACUAAUACCGUAUGUUGUCCAUUGACGGCAUCCGAUUUGGACGAAAGGUUUGGCGGUGAAGGAUGGGGAUGCGUCCGAUUAGCUGGACGGCGGGGUGACGGCCCACCGUGGCGACGAUCGGUAGGGGUUCUGAGAGGAAGGUCCCCCACACUGGAACUGAGACACGGUCCAGACUCCUACGGGAGGCAGCAGUGAGGAAUAUUGGUCAAUGGGCGUAAGCCUGAACCAGCCAAGUAGCGUGCAGGAUGACGGCCCUAUGGGUUGUAAACUGCUUUUAUGCGGGGAUAAAGUGGCCCACGUGUGGGUUUUUACAGGUACCGCAUGAAUAAGGACCGGCUAAUUCCGUG
RNAcentral lists this ribosomal RNA (490 nucleotides) under uncultured bacterium. RNAcentral describes it as "partial 16S ribosomal RNA". It matches the Rfam family "Bacterial small subunit ribosomal RNA", at positions 28 to 507 of the family's 1533-position model. The record is from RNAcentral.